This 75-nucleotide transfer RNA is filed under the name Dactylosporangium sucinum. RNAcentral's name for it is "tRNA-Ala". The record is from RNAcentral. Lineage: Bacteria; Bacillati; Actinomycetota; Actinomycetes; Micromonosporales; Micromonosporaceae.
CGAGGUCGCGGCCACCGGGGCCGGGGUGCGCCGGUUCGCGCUCGGCGACCGGGUGUUCGGCUUCACCGGCUUCGG